Molecule: ribosomal RNA, 407 nt
Filed under: uncultured bacterium
Lineage: Bacteria
Description: partial 16S ribosomal RNA
Rfam family: Bacterial small subunit ribosomal RNA
Source: RNAcentral
AUUGAACGCUGGCGGCAGGCCUAACACAUGCAAGUCGAGCGGAGCGGCGGACGGGGGAGUAAUGCCUAGGAAUCUGCCUGGGAGUGGGGGAUAAAGUCCGGAAACGGGCGCUAAUACCGCAUACGUACAAAUGAGCCUAGGUAGGAUUGGCUAGUUGGUGGGGGAAAGGCCUACCAAGGCGACGAUCCGUAACUGGUCUGAGAGGAUGAUCAGUCACACUGGAACUGAGACACGGUCCAUACUCCUACGGGAGGCAGCAGUGGGGAAUAUUGGACAAUGGGCGAAAGCCUGAUCCAGCCAUGCCGCGUGUGUGAAGAAGGUCUUAGGAUUGUAAAGCACUUUAAGUUGGGAGGCGUUACCAACAGAAUAAGCACCGGCUAACUUCGUGCCAGCAGCCGCGGUAAUUC